Molecule: ribosomal RNA, 468 nt
Filed under: uncultured bacterium
Lineage: Bacteria
Description: partial 16S ribosomal RNA
Rfam family: Bacterial small subunit ribosomal RNA
Source: RNAcentral
GACGAACGCUGGCGGCGUGCUUAACGCAUGCAAGUCGAACGGAAAGGCCCUGCUUUUGUGGGGUGCUCGAGUGGCGAACGGGUGAGUAACACGUGAGUAACCUGCCCUUGACUUUGGGAUAACUUCAGGAAACUGGGGCUAAUACCGGAUAUGAGCUCCUGCUGCAUGGUGGGGGUUGGAAAGUUUCGGCGGUUGGGGAAGGACUUGCGGCUUAGCAGCUUGUUGGUGGGGUAGUGGCUUACCAAGGCGUUGACGGGUAGCCGGCCUGAGAGGGUGACCGGCCACAUUGGGACUGGGAUACGGCCCAGACUGCUACGGGAGGCAGCAGUGGGGAAUAUUGCACGAUGGGCGGAAGCCUGAUGCAGCAACGCCGCGUGCGGGAUGACGGCCUUCGGGUUGUAAACCGCUUUCGCCUGUGACGAAGCGUGAGUGACGGUAAUGGGUAAAGAAGCACCGGCUAACUACGUG